RNAcentral lists this ribosomal RNA (301 nucleotides) under uncultured bacterium. Its description in RNAcentral is "partial 16S ribosomal RNA". It matches the Rfam family "Bacterial small subunit ribosomal RNA", at positions 509 to 807 of the family's 1533-position model. The record is from RNAcentral.
CAGCCGCCGCGGGAAUACGUAGGGGGCAAGCGUUGUCCGGAAUUAUUGGGCGUAAAGCGCGUGUAGGCGGCUCAGCAAGUCCGCUCUGAAAGCCCAGGGCUCAACCCUGGGAUGCGGGUGGAUACUGCUGAGCUCGAGUCCGGAAGAGGCGAGUGGAAUUCCUGGUGUAGCGGUGAAAUGCGCAGAUAUUAGGAGGAACACCAAUGGCGAAGGCAGCUCGCUGGGACGUGACUGACGCUGAGACGCGAAAGCGUGGGGAGCAAACAGGAUUAGAGACCCCAGUAGUCCCUGUCUCUUAUAC